UACGAAGGGGGCUAGCGUUGCUCGGAAUGACUGGGCGUAAAGGGCGCGUAGGCGGAUGGCUUUUGUCGGGCGUGAAAUUCCAGGGCUUAACCUUGGGGCUGCGUUCGAGACGGGUUGUCUUGAGUGGGGAAGAGGGUCGUGGAAUUCCCAGUGUAGAGGUGAAAUUCGUAGAUAUUGGGAAGAACACCGGUGGCGAAGGCGGCGACCUGGUCCUUUACUGACGCUGAGGCGCGAAAGCGUGGGGGAGCAAACAGG
Molecule: ribosomal RNA, 255 nt
Filed under: uncultured bacterium
Lineage: Bacteria
Description: partial 16S ribosomal RNA
Rfam family: Bacterial small subunit ribosomal RNA
Source: RNAcentral